RNAcentral lists this ribosomal RNA (446 nucleotides) under uncultured bacterium. RNAcentral's name for it is "partial 16S ribosomal RNA". It matches the Rfam family "Bacterial small subunit ribosomal RNA", at positions 338 to 795 of the family's 1533-position model. The record is from RNAcentral.
CCUACGGUGCGCUGCAGUCGAGAAUCAUUCACAAUGGGGGAAACCCUGAUGGUGCGACGCCGCGUGGGGGAAUGAAGGUCUUCGGAUUGUAAACCCCUGUCAUGUGGGAGCAAAUUAAAAAGAUAGUACCACAAGAGGAAGCGACGGCUAACUCGGUGCCAGCCGCCGCGGUAAUACAGAGGUCUCAAGCGUUGUUCGGAAUCACUGGGCGUAAAGCGUGCGUAGGCUGUUUCGUAAGUCGUGUGUGAAAGGCGCGGGCUCAACCCGCGGACGGCACAUGAUAAUGAGAGACUAGAGUAAUGGAGGGGGAACCGGAAUUCUCGGGGUAGCAGUGAAAUGCGUAGAUAUCGAGAGGAACACUCGUGGCGAAGGCGGGUUCCUGGACAUUAACUGACGCUGAGGCACGAAGGCCAGGGGAGCGAAAGGGAGUAGAUACCCCUGUAGUC